CUAAAACAGAAUGGGGAAAUCAUUUACAGUCACAAUCAAAAGGUAGAGGAAGACAUAACAAAAAGUCACAUAGUAUAACAUAAAUAUAAAAACAUGAGUAGAAGUGGAGAUGCUUUGUCUGUCUGCAAAUUGAUAUUCACAUGCAUCCUCUUCAACUUUCGGCAUAAUAAUCCUAUCAACAAAAGUUCAAAUCAAAGAAUAUAUGGGAAAUUACAAUGUGACGAUUCUUAGCAAAACAAAAUUAUGAAAAGAGAUUGAGCAAGUCAUCAUCAUGGAGAAAAUGGACACUCACUCAAUCCUUCUUCAUUGAUCCAUUGCUUCACCUCCUAAUUUGUUAGAAUCACCUCAAUGACAAAUGACGAUUCACCGUAAUUCU
This 376-nucleotide long non-coding RNA is filed under the name Salvia miltiorrhiza (redroot sage). RNAcentral's name for it is "long non-coding RNA (SMIL_LNC005904)". The record is from RNAcentral. Lineage: Eukaryota; Viridiplantae; Streptophyta; Magnoliopsida; Lamiales; Lamiaceae.